Molecule: RNA transcript, 4179 nt
Organism: Mirounga angustirostris (Northern elephant seal)
Lineage: Eukaryota; Metazoa; Chordata; Mammalia; Carnivora; Phocidae
Gene: CH25H
Gene name: cholesterol 25-hydroxylase
Exons: 4
Source: RefSeq, a predicted model, not a curated record
CUAGGGGCCUCUUGUGUGCGUGGCAGCCACCCGGCUCAAAGGCGGGGGUGGUUUUCUACGCGGGUCCCCGGUGGCCCCCGAGCUCGCCCAGUACCCCCCUCCUCCCGCUCGGUCCCCCGAGAGCCGCGGAGCUCGGGGCGGGGGGCGGCGUGCCGCGCAGUGGGCUCUGGGCUCCAGGGGUGGUCGGGGGAACGCGGGUGGAGGACCAGCGGCAGGCUGGCCCCGCGAAGCCCGCCGAGAGGAGGGCAGGGUAGGCGCGUCCUCCUCCGCUCAGUGCGCUGCGUCCCGCGCACGGAUGCUCGGAUGCUCCGUUGAGGAACAAGGGGGGUGGUUUACUGCUUUCAUUGCUUCCAUCCCAAAUUGAGACGGAGCGGCUUUGUAGCCAGAUCUGGGCAGGCUCUGGAUGUUAAAACACAGCACUUUUUUUUUUUUUUUUUAAAUUGAAGCCUCCCAGCCGCGGUCCCCGCCCUGUCGCCGUGCCUCCUGGUCGGGGUCGCCGGUCGGGCUCCGCGCGCGCCGCGGCGAAAGAAACGAGCGGCCGCCCGGGUGUGCGGACCCCGCGGGGGGAGUCCGCGCGCAGUGGGACCGGGAGCCUGCGGCGAGCCGGCGGCCAGAGCUGCGCUCCGAGACGCUGGAACCGGGAGGUUCGGGUCCCGCCCGCCGUCCGCUCCGACUUCCUGCGCCGAUCGCCGCAGCGCGCGCCCGGCCGCCCCGCGGUUCCCCCUGCGGGAAGGUCGGUGUGAGCUCGCAUCUACUCAGAUCGACAGGAGGUGUGCCGACAGAAAAGAUCGGAAAUACAGAAGGUACGUCGCUUUAAAAAGUUUUAAAAAAUGCAGUGAUGGUUGCCCCUUUAGGAAAGCACACAGACGCAAUUAUAUGUAUGCGUUUAAAAAAUACAAGCGAUUGCGCACCGACUGAGAAGGAGCUCUUUACCGUGGUGGCGGAAACAUUCUCUUAUCUUGUUUGGGUGCGAUGGUGGCAGAGGAAUUAAGCUGUCAAAAUUUGUAGACACUGCACUGAAGAUCUGCGCAUUGUAUCGCGCGUACACGGUACAGCAGUUGAAAAAAAAAUCGGAACAUAAAUCUGCGUGCACGUAAAAAGUUAGUAACGUUGCACACUGCGCGUAGAAAAGCCGAUUCAGCGCCCGCGUAGAUGUACAUUUUGGCAACGGAGCGCGGCUCUCUGUGGGGCCGUUUGUUUCUGCAAGCUCGGCCCGGCCGGGAAUGGGAGAGGGAGAGGAGGCGGCUGACAUCACUCGGGGCGGGGCCGCGGCGCUAAGAAAAGUCGGUGGGGCCCGAGCGGUCCCGGCACAGCCUCACCAUGAGCUGCGGCAACACGUCCGAGCGCCACAUCCUCGGCAGCUCGGACCAGCUGGUCCUGCAGCCGCUCUGGGACCAGCUGCGCGCCCAGGACGCGCUCACGCAGUCGCCCCUGUUCGCCGUCCUCUUUUCCAUCUGCACGUACGUGGGCUUCUGCCUGCCCUUCGUGGCGCUCGACGUGCUGAGCCGCUGGGUGCCCGCGCUGCGGCGCUACAAGAUCCACCCGGACUUCUCGCCGACGACGCGGCAGAUGCUGCCCUGCUUGGGGCAGACCCUCUACCAGCACGCCGUGUUCGUGCUCCCCUUGACGCUGCUGUCCUGGGCCCGCGGCCCGGCCCCCUGGCCCCGCGAAGCCCCCGAGCUGCUGCAGCUGGCGGGCCACGUCCUGGGCUGCCUGCUCCUCUUCGACGCGGAGUUCUUCGCGUGGCACGUGCUCCAUCACAAGGUGCCGUGGCUUUACCGCACCUUCCACAAGAUGCACCACCGCAACUCGGCCUCGUUCGCGCUGGCCACGCAGUACAUGAGCGCCUGGGAGCUGUUCUCCCUGGGCUUCUUCGACGCGGUGAACGUCACGCUGCUGCAGUGCCAUCCGCUCACCGUCCUGGUGUUCCGCGUGCUCAACAUCUGGCUGUCGGUGGAGGACCACUCCGGCUACGACUUCCCCUGGUCCACGCACAGACUGGUACCCUUCGGGUGGUACGGCGGCGUCACGCACCACGACCUGCACCACUCGCAGUUCCACUGCAACUUUGCCCCUUACUUCACGCACUGGGACAGAAUCCUGGGCACUCUUCGCUCCAAGUGACUGGCAGCCUCCCAGCCGGGCUGCGGUGGCGGAGGGGGGCGCCCCCUUCCCCACGCGCCCGCCACCCCGGAACCCAGGACUGCCGCAGGGCACUUCAACUUCAAUCAGGAGAAACACACCUGAGCUGUUGUGUCUUGCUUUGUUUUUAAGAAACCAAGAAGGAUUUGUAUGUGUUCACCAGGCAGGGUGAAGGGCGUCCCUGGCAGAAGCAACAACGCUGUAGGGCAGAGAGGAAUAAAGGAACUUGGCUGCUGGAAAACAAGGAAGGAAGCACAGCGCUCUCUGAGAACGAGGAAGGAAUGUCUUGCCACUUGACAAACCACCGUACCCGCUCAGCACUGUUUGCUCACCUGCCUCUGCACAGGGGGUUUGGAAGACGGUUGUGUUGUUCCUGCUGAUUGUCGUUUAGUGGUUUUUCCAAAGCCUGAAAUGCCUGGAAGCAACAAAUACCCCAGUCACUGCAAGCGGACUCUGUUAGGACCCACUUUGAACCCUCAGCCUGGCAGCUUACAACUCUGCCUUCAUCUUCGUUUCCUGCUUGCCCGGAGCCUGAAGGGCAUUUGGCUCAGCACUGUGUGAGCUCUGAGUUAAGACUAGAUAAAGGCAAGUAAGUGGGGCGGAUCCUCAAGGAAAACACAAGGCUGAUCAAAACCAACAACCGUGAUUCUUUGUGAAUGGAGUCCAUUCUUCUGCUUGGACCUGGAUUCCUGUACUGGGAAUGUGGGCUGUUUCUUCAAGGCCACCGCUGAGCUCGGGGGUGGGAGUUGGGAUUAAGGUAAGUUAAAAUGACAUAAACUCUCGGUUAUCCCCUAUAUCUUUAUUUUCCUUCUACUUGUUCUAUUAAUGACUGAAAAUGGGUUUUGAAAUCUCUGCUUAUAGUUGCAGGCGUAUCUAUUUCUUCUCUUGGUUCUAUCAGUUUUUGCUUCGUGUAUUUUGAACUCUGUUACAUGAGGUAUAGAAACGUCUAGGAUUAUUACGCACUCCUAAUUUAUUGAGCACCUACUCUGUGGCAAGAGUUCUCCUACUUGCUUUCUCUAUGUAACUUCCUUCCCUUGUUAAAAGUGUAUUCAGGGGGCAUCUGGGUGGCUCAGGUGGUUAAAAAAAGGAAGUGUAUUCAGUAUCCACGAUCUCAGUUUUAGAGAGGAAAAGAAAUUCGACAUACAAGGUUUUAUAUGGCAGGAGAAAAACCUAAGCAGUUAGAUGCCAGAGUCCUUGGUUUUCACGAGUGUGUUGUUUUAGGUAUGCAGUGGUGAUUCCAACUCUGGGCCAGGCCAGGGGAAGGGAUCGUAACCUCCCUUGGAAACUUGGCCUUUUGUUGCAAUUGAACUGGUUCCAAUUUUGGCACAUCUCACACACACCUCUUAUUGAGAUGAGAAAACAACACACAUUUGCUGGCAAAAUAGAAGGAAUUAAGGUUGGAGCUAACUUUUGAAUUGCACGUUUCUGUUCGUCUCUUCUAGUAAUGUCUGCAUGGCCUGAGAGAGCUGAGCUCUGUCUUCUUUUCCCUGGGUUGCACAAAAGCAGUCCCAAGGUGGCUGAUGGGAAAAAGGAAGCAUCUUAAAUAGCUAUCUAUCAGUGAGUUCAUAAGACCCACUGCCAAAGAAGCUCAACGGCUAACCCUACUUUGCUCAUCGAGCCUCCUUCAAAUGCUUCCCCCGAGCCCGUUUGUUUCCUGCUGAAUCAUUCAGAGCCAGGGACAUUGACCUUUUAGUCAAAAGCAGGGAUUUGAGUUUUGGCUUUUCACUUCCUGACUUGGUGACUUUGGGAAGGUGAUUUAAGUGAUCUGUAAAAUGGAUCUACUCAUAGUGCUUACAAAGAAAAAAAAAAGCUAUUUUGAUAGUAAUAUGUAAAAUGCUACUUAAAUACCGGGUACUAUUAUUAUAAUUAUCUCUCUUUAUAAAUAGAGGAAGCCUGUUUCCUUCAGUGUCUGCUUGGCAGUCCAAGUCAAUACUGAUAACUGUCAUUUCUGAGUCCCUUCCAUGGGGGAGGCACUAUUAUCUACCUGGUCUCAUUUAGCCCUCAUUUAACCUAUCAAACUUGUAGGAUCUUUUUCAC